UUCCUCUGUCCAAUGGCUCACUCUAAAUCUCUGCACCUUCCAAGUCAAGAAAAAGAGAGAGAAAAAAAAUGCAUGUUGAGGUAACAAGCUUCUUAAAGAGUGAGGAAAGCACCACUUCAUCUGGGAACUAAAAAAUGAGAUUGCCGGAGAAAAUAGAAUAUCAGCGCUAAGCAUAAUGUGACAAAAAAGAAGAGGAGGAAAAGGGGUGAGAGAGGGAGAAGUUGUGCAUUCAGCUAACCCCCCUCCUCAGUCCGCCUCUUUCCACCCUCUGGAAAAGUCUCUCCCUCUCUCUCUCUCUACCUCUUUUCUCUCCGUCUCUCUGCAGCUGUGCUCUGCCGAGCAUCACCUCCACACAGCAAGUGCCUUUACUUCAGCAGAAGAGGGAGAAAGAAGAGGAAGGUGGCUGCGAGCUCCAGAGCACAAGAAACCUCAGGAGUGCGUCUGCACACGGCAGAGGAGUGCUUCUCUCUACUCUUCAUACAGAAGGGCUAAGGAGCGCACAGAGACAGGGAAGAGGCGACUGCGUUGGAGUAACGCUGUGCCAGUGGUGCCGACUGGGGACAGGGUAAUCCACUGACACUGUUGAUCCUGGUGGCUCUGGCAAAAAGCUUCCAGAAGGAGACAGAGAAGCGGAAAAGCAGACAGGAUCUUGCCAAGGGGGCAGCAUUUUACUUCGGAAAACGAAGCGUGGCGACAGCAGAAACGCACACAGAGAGACACACUCACAAACACCAGAGUGGAAAAAGGACAGCCAGACACCCACCGCAUUUAAAAAUCCACUACAACCCUUCAGUUUCUUCUGACUUAACCAAGAAAAUAGAAAAAUGUCUCAUGUUGUUGCCUGUGGAUGACGGAUAUUAACUUCUUGGGAGAAAUUUGUCUUCUAAAGUAAGAUUUUUUUCAAACUUUGCUACUUUUUUUAUUUUUUGGAGUUGGGCCUGUAAACUGUCUGAGCACAUCACAGAUUUCUUCUUAGUUACAGAAAUGGAGAGUUGUCUUGGGGACCGUUGAGAUGCCUCCUCCUGAUUCAGAGUAGAAAGUGGAUUAUGACGGCAGUAUUUUGAGAUUUCUUCUUUGCACCAUAAUAAAAAAAAUCCAUCUACGUCUGCUGGAUUUAUGUCUGAGAGAAGGAGAAGAUCUCAGGCAUUUUCUCUUCUCCUGUGGAUUACCUACGGGUUUUCUCUCAUGGAUGAUUGCUUGCCGCCGUUUAUUAAAAAAAAGUAUGAAAAGGGACAAGUCAUAGCUGAUGGAGUUUAAUACAGAGCAAGUCUGGAUGAAAAUCUGUGAGAAGCUGCCAAAGACAUGUGCCUGGGAGGUUCACCUUCAAUCGAGUAGUCUAGAUAAUGGCUUAGUUAAAGUUUAAUUAUCCAAUUAAGACUCUGAGGAAAAACUUGAAAAUUCCUGAAGACACUCCCCAUUAAAAGUGUUUCUACAAAGUGGGCUGAUUACAUAUCAGUUAAAAAGAAACAAAACUAUGCACAGUUUCCUUCCACUCCACCAUUAUGUAAUGAUUUAUGUUGGUCUUCUGCAUCAUUCCAGCAAAAUGAAUGACAAUGAAUGAAAAUGGGAUAAAACAUGGAAAAGUUCAAGAUGAAAUGAAUAAUUUAGCAAGGCACAACUCAUUUUUGCUAGUCAACUUUUCCCUUGAUAUAGUUUUUUUCCCCCCACCAAAUUACAUUUUGACAGGACGAAGAUAAAUGCUUCAUAUAUCUUCAGAAGUAGCUCAAACUUUUCUAGGCUUUCUUACGACGACUUUCCAACAGGUUCUUGAGUCAUCUCUUCCCCUCUCAAAUGUAAUAAAUUGGAAAGUCUGCCUAUCCACACCUACGAUAUAAACACUGACAAAGAUGCCUGGGACAAGCCAGCAAGAUAAACAGUGUCUGUAAAUUCACAACUUGACCUUCGGCAGUCUUAAAUGGCAACAGAGUCGAGUCACAAAUGUAUUUUUCAGGGAAGGCAUGUUUGGAGGUGACCAGAACAAACCAGCAGAGAAAAUGAAUCCUCAUCAAGUAUUGAUCCUCCUGUCUGGAGGAAAAGUGAUAAGAUUUGAAACAACCAUCUUCUAUAAAAGAAAAUACCAUACUUUUUUGACGGAGCAACAGGAGGUCUUUGAUGCUGCUGAGAUGUGUGUGCCUAAAGCUCAUCUUUACUGGAGUAUCCUAAAACCCAGCAUGAGUUGGGACUUCACAAAGUUUUCGACUCCUUAUUCUUAAACAGAGAUGCCCCUGUGCAGGAGUGAAGCAAAUAAAAUUGAUGUUUCUCGGCAUAGUUCAUCUAAUUCAUUCUAAAUUUGUUUGUAUGCACACACUCCAAACACAGUAGCUCUGAGCAACAUCCUUUUACAGUUUGCUGAAAAGAGGCAAUUAGCUGUUCUACAGUCAAAAUACUUCUGCAAUUAAUCUUUAUCUUAGCGCUCUUAAUCACCAAAUUACAGCCUGGAUAAUUAUGAAACAGCUUCCCCACACAUCCAUCCAUGCAUGUUUUCAUUUCAUGCCCCUGUGACACGGAAGGUUUCGCUAUCGCGCAUAUGCACAGUUUGUGAGGAUUACCAACGGCUAUGAAGUAUGACCCUGACUGGAGAUCAAGCCCGAGACUCGCAGCUACGAUAUGAUCCUGCUUAUAAUCAGGUCAGCAGCUCUUAGUCGACACAACGGGAAACCAUGGACAUCAGAAACGAGAAGCGCCUGCUCAGAGUGGUGUUAAGUGUUGUAUAAAAAUGUGAAUUAUGAAGAGGUGUUUAAAUAUUCAAGCAACCCAGCAGUUCAAUGAGAUUUAUCAUUUAAAUCCAAGCAAUUCUGCAAGUUUUCUCUCAGGUCUUGUUGACCUAUAAAAGAUUCAGAUGGUUUAUAAGUCGCUGUGAUGCUUACAGGGCAUUUUCUCAGGAACCCAUUCAUAUGUAAACCGUCUAAAAAUCUGAAAUAAUAUUCUCUCAGUGUAAUAUCUGUGGAGGAAAUAAAAUGUAAAUAUGGAACUGUGAAAAAAAGGAUUUUCCUCCGCAGAUUUCUUCUGCUUUUUGCCACAUGUAAAUGAAACCCAGUUUAAUAUGAGAUAUAAGCUUAGUCAAUAUAAA
Xiphophorus maculatus (southern platyfish) is the source of this 3070-nucleotide RNA transcript. It is a transcript of the gene named transmembrane protein 121-like, with no coding region annotated. The record is from RefSeq and is a predicted model, not a curated record. The transcript has 2 exons. NCBI's taxonomy places the organism in Eukaryota, Metazoa, Chordata, Actinopteri, Cyprinodontiformes, Poeciliidae.